RNAcentral lists this non-coding RNA (100 nucleotides) under Petrocella atlantisensis. RNAcentral's name for it is "TPP riboswitch aptamer (THI element)". It matches the Rfam family "TPP riboswitch aptamer (THI element)". From Rfam's summary of the family: Vitamin B(1) in its active form thiamin pyrophosphate (TPP) is an essential coenzyme that is synthesised by coupling of pyrimidine and thiazole moieties in bacteria. The previously detected thiamin-regulatory element, thi box was extended, resulting in a new, highly conserved RNA secondary structure, the THI element, which is widely distributed in eubacteria and also occurs in some archaea. Lineage: Bacteria; Bacillati; Bacillota; Clostridia; Lachnospirales; Vallitaleaceae. The record is from Rfam by way of RNAcentral.
GCAAAUCGCUAGGGGAGCCGUCACACGGCUGAGAUAGUAUUAACUGACCCUCAUACCUGAACCAGAUCAUGCUGGCGUAGGAAAGCAGUGCUUGAGUAAU